Molecule: long non-coding RNA, 201 nt
Filed under: Gossypium barbadense (sea-island cotton)
Lineage: Eukaryota; Viridiplantae; Streptophyta; Magnoliopsida; Malvales; Malvaceae
Description: long non-coding RNA (GBAR_LNC002346)
Source: RNAcentral
CUUAAUUUCCCCCCAUACUUUUACACAUCAUAGGUACGAAUUAUAACAUCAAUUUAAUGUUUAAUCAACCUUUGGUGAAAUUCAAUUAAAUAAUUGCAUGUAUUCAUACAUGUGUUUAUUACCCAACACUUAAUCUCUACACAUUCAACAAUUGUCCAUGUUCAAUCAUUAUUAUCUUACUACCAUGCCACACAUUCACUC